GACGAACGCUGGCGGCGUGCUUAACACAUGCAAGUCGAACGGAAAGGCCCUGCUUUUGUGGGGUGCUCGAGUGGCGAACGGGUGAGUAACACGUGAGUAACCUGCCCUUGACUUUGGGAUAACUUCAGGAAACUGGGGCUAAUACCGGAUAGGAGCUCCUGCUGCAUGGCGGGGGUUGGAAAGUUUCGGCGGUUGGGGAUGGACUCGCGGCUUAUCAGCUUGUUGGUGGGGUAGUGGCUUACCAAGGCUUUGACGGGUAGCCGGCCUGAGAGGUUGACCGGCCACAUUGGGACAGAGAUACGGCCCCAACUCCUACGGGAAUCAGCAGUGCGGAAUAGUGCACAUUCCACCAACGCCACAUGCAGCAACGCCGCGUGCGCGAUGACCGCCUUCAGCUUGAACACCGCCUUCACCUAUAACGACCCGUCAGUAACCGUAAUGAGUAAAGAAGCACCGGCUAACUACGUC
This 468-nucleotide ribosomal RNA is filed under the name uncultured bacterium. RNAcentral's name for it is "partial 16S ribosomal RNA". It matches the Rfam family "Bacterial small subunit ribosomal RNA", at positions 28 to 507 of the family's 1533-position model. The record is from RNAcentral.